GCCUAGGUGGCUCAGUCGGUUGAGCAUCUGACUUCGGCUCAGGUCAUGAUCUCACAGUUCCUGGGUU
RNAcentral lists this transfer RNA (67 nucleotides) under Felis catus (domestic cat). It matches the Rfam family "tRNA". Rfam says of the family: Transfer RNA (tRNA) molecules are approximately 80 nucleotides in length. Their secondary structure includes four short double-helical elements and three loops (D, anti-codon, and T loops). Further hydrogen bonds mediate the characteristic L-shaped molecular structure. tRNAs have two regions of fundamental functional importance: the anti-codon, which is responsible for specific mRNA codon recognition, and the 3' end, to which the tRNAs corresponding amino acid is attached (by aminoacyl-tRNA synthetases). tRNAs cope with the degeneracy of the genetic code in two manners: having more than one tRNA (with a specific anti-codon) for a particular amino acid; and 'wobble' base-pairing, i.e. permitting non-standard base-pairing at the 3rd anti-codon position. The record is from Rfam by way of RNAcentral. RNAcentral also lists the same sequence under 2 other names. Lineage: Eukaryota; Metazoa; Chordata; Mammalia; Carnivora; Felidae.